AUUGAACGCUGGCGGCAGGCUUAACACAUGCAAGUCGAACGAGUGGCGGACGGGUGAGUAAUGUCUGGGAAACUGCCUGGUGGAGGGGGAUAACUACUGGAAACGGUAGCUAAUACCGCAUACUAUUGGAUGUGCCCAUAUGGGAUUAGCUUGUUGGUGGGGUAACGGCUCACCAAGGCCACGAUCCGUAGCUGGUAUGAGAGGAUGACCAGCCACACUGGGACUGAGACACGGUCCAGAAUCCUACGGGAGGCAGCAGUGGGGAAUAUUGGACAAUGGGGGAAAGCCUGAGGCAGCCAUGCCGCGUGUAUGAAGAAGGCCUUCGGGUUGUAAAGUACUUUUAGCAGGGAGGCGGUAUCUGCAGAAGAAGCACCGGCUAACUCCGUGCCAGCAGCCGCGGUAAUAC
Molecule: ribosomal RNA, 406 nt
Filed under: uncultured bacterium
Lineage: Bacteria
Description: partial 16S ribosomal RNA
Rfam family: Bacterial small subunit ribosomal RNA
Source: RNAcentral